Molecule: RNA transcript, 1954 nt
Organism: Octodon degus (degu)
Lineage: Eukaryota; Metazoa; Chordata; Mammalia; Rodentia; Octodontidae
Gene name: 78 kDa glucose-regulated protein pseudogene
Exons: 1
Source: RefSeq, a predicted model, not a curated record
AUGAAGCUGUGUCUGGUAGCCAUGGUGCUCCUGCUGCUCAGUGUGGCACAAGCCAAGAAGGAGGGCAUGAAGGAGGAUGUGGGCACAGUGGUUGGCAUCGACCUGGGGACCACCUACUUCUGCAUUGGGAUGUUCAAGAAUGGUUGCAUGGAGAUCAUUGCUAACGAUCAGGGCAACUGCAUCAUGCCAUCUUACAUGGCCUUCACUCCAGAAGGGAAGCGGCUGACUGGGGAUGUGGCCAAGAACCAGCUCACCUCCAAUCCCAAGAAUAUGGUCUUCAAAACCAAGUGGCUCAUCGGUCGCACUUGGAAUAGCCCCUCUGUGCAGCAGGACAUCAAGUUCUUGCCUUUCAAGGUGGUUGAAAAGAAAACUAAACCAUACAUUAAAGUUGAUAUUGGAGGUGGGUAAACCAAGACGUUUGCUCUGGAAGAAAUUUCUCUCAUGGUUCUCACUAAAAUGAAGGAAACUACUGAGGCUUAUUUGGGAAAGAAGGUUACUCAUGCAGUUUUACUGUACCUGCCUAUUUUAAUGAUGCUCAAAGGCAAGCAACCAAAGAUCCUGGUACAAUUGCUGAAUGUUAUGAGGAUCACCAAUGAGAUGACAACAGCUGCUAUUGUUUAUGACCUGGAUAAGAGAGAGGGGGAAAACCAUCCUGAUGUUUGACCUUGGUGGUGGAGCUUUUGAUGUGUCUUUUCUCACCAUCAACAAUGGUGUCUUCGCAGUUGUGGUCACUAAUGGAAAUACUCAUCUGGGUGGAGGGGACUUUGACCAUCAUAUUGUGGAACCCUUCAUCAAGCUGUACAAAAAGAAGACUGGCAAAGCUGUGAGGAAGGCCAACAGAGCUGUACAGAAACUCCAUCGUGAGGUAGAAAAGGUCAAGCGGGCCCUCUCUUCUCAGCAUCAAGCAAGAAUUGAAAUUGAAUCUUUCUAUGAAGGAGAAGACUUUUCUGAGACCUUUACUCAUCCCAAAUUUGAAGAACUAAACAUGGAUCUGUUCUGUUUUACCAUGAAGCCCAUCCAGAAAGUGUUGGAAGAUUCUGACUUGAAGAAGUCUGAUAUCUAUGAAAUUGUUCUUGGUGGCUCUACUUGAAUUCCAAAGAUACAGCAACUAGUUAAAGAGUUCUUCAAUGGCAAGGAGCCACCCCGUGGCGUAAACCCAGGUGAGGCUGUAGUGUAUGGUGCUGCUGUCCAGGCUGGUGUACACUAAGGUGAUCAAGAUACAGGAGACCUGAUACUGCUGGAUGUAUGUCUCCUUAUACUUGGCAUUGAAAAUGUGGGAGGUGUCAUGACCAAACUGACUCCAAGAAACACUGUGGUCCCUACCAAGAAGUCUCAGAUCUUUUCCAUAGCUUCUCAUAAUCAACCAACUGUUAACAAUCAAAGUCUAUAAAGGGGAGUGAUCCCUGAUGAAAGAUAAUCACCUCCUGGGUACAUUUGACAUGACUGGAAUUCCUCCUGCUCCUCCUGGGCUCCCCCAGAUUGAAAUCACCUUUGAGAUAGAUGUGAAUGGCAUUCUUUGGGUGACAGCUGAAUACAAGGGUACAGAAAAUAAAAAUAAGAUCAUAAUCACCAAUGACAAAAAUCACCUGACACCUGAAGAAAUUGAAAGGAUGGUUAAUAAUGCUAAGAAGUUUGCUGAGGAAGACAAAAAGCUGAGGGAUGCAUCGACACUAGGAAUGAGCUGGAAAGCUAUGCCUACUCUUCAAAGAAACAGAUUGGAGGUAAAGAAAAGCUAGGAGGCAAACUUUCCUCAGAAGAUAAGGAGACCAUGGAAAAAACUGUAGAGGACAAGAUUGAGUGGCUGGAAAGCCACCAAGAUGCUGACAUUGAAGACUUCAAAGCAAAGAAGAAGGAAUUAGAAGAAAUUGUUCAGCCUACUAUCAGCAAACUCUAUGGAAGUGCAGGCCCUCCCCUGACUGGUGAAGAGUAUACAGCAGAAAAAGAUGAAUUGUAG